RNAcentral lists this ribosomal RNA (850 nucleotides) under Talaromyces sp. RNAcentral describes it as "LSU rRNA". It matches the Rfam family "Eukaryotic large subunit ribosomal RNA", at positions 69 to 937 of the family's 3401-position model. The record is from RNAcentral. Lineage: Eukaryota; Fungi; Ascomycota; Eurotiomycetes; Eurotiales; Trichocomaceae.
CAGGGAUUGCCUCAGUAACGGCGAGUGAAGCGGCAAGAGCUCAAAUUUGAAAUCUGGCCCCUUUGGGGUCCGAGUUGUAAUUUGCAGAGGAUGCUUCGGGUGCGGUCCCCGUCUAAGUGCCGUGGAACGGGCCGUCAUAGAGGGUGAGAAUCCCGUCUGGGAUGGGCGGCCGCGCCCGUGUGAAGCUCCUUCGACGAGUCGAGUUGUUUGGGAAUGCAGCUCUAAGCGGGUGGUAAAUUUCAUCUAAAGCUAAAUACUGGCCGGAGACCGAUAGCGCACAAGUAGAGUGAUCGAAAGAUGAAAAGCACUUUGAAAAGAGAGUUAAACAGCACGUGAAAUUGUUGAAAGGGAAGCGUUGUCCACCAGACUCGCCCGGGGGGGUUCAGCCGGCACGUGUGCCGGUGUACUCCUCUCCGGGCGGGCCAGCAUCGGUUUGGGCGGCUGGUGAAAGGCCCCGGGAAUGUGCCACCCUUCGGGGUGCCUUAUAGCCCGGGGUGCCAUACAGCCAGCCUGGACCGAGGCCCGCGCUUCGGCGAGGAUGCUGGCGUAAUGGUGGUCAACGGCCCGUCUUGAAACACGGACCAAGGAGUCUAACAUCUAUGCGAGUGUUCGGGUGUCAAACCCGUCCGCGCAGUGAAAGCGAACGGAGGUGGGAGCCCCUCGGGGCGCACCAUCGACCGAUCCUGAUGUCUUCGGAUGGAUUUGAGUAAGAGCAUAGCUGUUGGGACCCGAAAGAUGGUGAACUAUGCCUGAAUAGGGCGAAGCCAGAGGAAACUCUGGUGGAGGCUCGCAGCGGUUCUGACGUGCAAAUCGAUCGUCAAAUUUGGGUAUAGGGGCGAAAGACUAAUCG